AUUGAACGCUGGCGGCAUGCCUUACACAUGCAAGUCGAACGGCAGCACGGGGGCAACCCUGGUGGCGAGUGGCGAACGGGUGAGUAAAGCAUCGGAACGUGCCCUGGAGUGGGGGAUAACGUAGCGAAAGUUACGCUAAUACCGCAUAUUCUGUGAGCAGGAAAGCAGGGGAUCGCAAGACCUUGCGCUCUGGGAGCGGCCGAUGUCGGAUUAGCUAGUUGGUGGGUAAAGGCCUACCAAGGCGACGAUCCGUAGCGGGUCUGAGAGGAUGAUCCGCCACACUGGGACUGAGACACGGCCCAGACUCCUACGGGAGGCAGCAGUGGGGAAUUUUGGACAAUGGGCGGAAGCCUGAUCCAGCCAUGCCGCGUGAGUGAAGAAGGCCUCGG
RNAcentral lists this ribosomal RNA (389 nucleotides) under uncultured bacterium. RNAcentral describes it as "bacterial SSU rRNA". It matches the Rfam family "Bacterial small subunit ribosomal RNA", at positions 29 to 420 of the family's 1533-position model. The record is from RNAcentral.